ACAACAAGACGCUCUCAGUAGAGGAACUUGUGUUCCGUUUGUAUUGUUAACUAGAAAUGGUUGGUAUGUGAUUCGCACCUGCGUUGAACACUUGCAUAGACGACUGCCUUUUUCAUUCACUUGUUUGUUAGUCUUGAGAUCCCGUGUCUUUUUUGUGUGAAAAUGUAACGAUGAACUAAGUUUAAUUUUCGCUUUAUCUUUCUUUUUUUUUUGUUCGUUUAAAUAUCAUAACAAUUAUCAAGGGCUCAACAAAACCUAUUUUAAUUUACUUACCAGCUGGGUAGUAUUUUAGGGCUUGUAUUAGUAUGACAAGUAAAUUUAAAAAAAAUGUUCGUAUGCUCGUACUGCUAAAAAUCUAAACUCAUAUUCUCCAGACCCCAGGUGGCACGAGUGUCUUCGUGAGUGGGACUAAAUUCCGCCAUUUGUUUCUCAGACACUGAGUGAAAAUGUAUUCCAAAUGCAUUACGGAUUUACGGGCGUCGUUCUUCAUUUUCAGUCAAGAGAUUAUAAAGGAAGGAGAUCCCUUUACUUUACUAUCGAAGAAUUUGAGAACACGCAAAAUCUGAACUUCAUUGCUGUCUUUCGUGCUAAUGAUUUUGUUGCAACCAACUGGUGAAAGGUGUGAUCAAGUUGAGCUGCAGCUGCUGCAUCUAUUUAGCUACCUACAUUCAUCAGUCUAUAGUGUUAUCCUGAAGUGUGGAAGCAUAACCCAACUGCAAUUGGACAAAGAUUUAUUGAAAUGUCUGUGGCAAGGUGUUUUCCAACUGUAUGAUGCUGUUCAAUAUGCAGUGGUUUUUCAGCCAUUUCCAGUUCAAGCUGUUGCAUGCUGUCUGUGGUGCUGGUGUUAUCCUGAAAAUGUGUUGAUUGUCAAUAUCUAAGUGUGUAAUGCCUGUGGGACGUACCGAGAUGAUUGGACGCGACUGAAGAAGAGUUUAUGAUGUAGAUGUAGACAAGUGCAUAUCUGGGCUCCCUUCUUUUCUGUGGCCCCGUUUCCCUAACUAACCACUAACCAACGCCCGCCGGUGGUCACUCACCCGCUGUGAAACCAGGAGGAGGGGAGGGCUCUGGUCGAA
This is a long non-coding RNA of Daphnia pulex (common water flea), 1073 nucleotides long. RefSeq lists it as uncharacterized. The transcript is spliced from 3 exons. NCBI's taxonomy places the organism in Eukaryota, Metazoa, Arthropoda, Branchiopoda, Diplostraca, Daphniidae. The record is from RefSeq and is a predicted model, not a curated record.